UCGAGAAUCUUCGGCAAUGGGCGCAAGCCUGACCGAGCGACGCCGCGUGGAGGAUGAAGGCCUUCGGGUUGUAAACUCCUGUCGAGGGGGACCAAGGGCCGGCGCAGAGCCGGUCUUGAGGGAACCCUGGAGGAAGCACGGGCUAAGUUCGUGCCAGCUGCCGCGGUAAGACGAACCGAGCGAACGUUAUUCGGAAUCACUGGGCUUAAAGCGCGUGUAGGCGGGCCGCCGCGCCGGACGGUGAAAGCCCCCGGCUCAACCGGGGAACGGGCGGCGAUACGGGUGGCCUGGAGGGACGUAGGGGGCGCUGGAACUUCCGGUGGAGCGGUGAAAUGCGUUGAGAUCGGAAGGAACGCCCGCGGCGAAAGCGAGCGCCUGGACGUCAACUGACGCUGAGACGCGAAAGCCAGGGGAGCAAACGGGAUUAGAUACCCGGGUAGUCC
Molecule: ribosomal RNA, 443 nt
Filed under: uncultured prokaryote
Description: bacterial SSU rRNA
Rfam family: Bacterial small subunit ribosomal RNA
Source: RNAcentral